UAUGGUGCAAGCGUUAUCCGGAUUUACUGGGUGUAAAGGGAGCGUAGACGGUUGUGUAAGUCUGAUGUGAAAACCCGGGGCUCAACCCCGGGACUGCAUUGGAAACUAUGCAGCUAGAGUGCCGGAGAGGUAAGCGGAAUUCCUAGUGUAGCGGUGAAAUGCGUAGAUAUUAGGAGGAACACCAGUGGCGAAGGCGGCUUACUGGACGGUAACUGACGUUGAGGCUCGAAAGCGUGGGGAGCAAA
Molecule: ribosomal RNA, 245 nt
Filed under: uncultured bacterium
Lineage: Bacteria
Description: partial 16S ribosomal RNA
Rfam family: Bacterial small subunit ribosomal RNA
Source: RNAcentral